RNAcentral lists this ribosomal RNA (426 nucleotides) under uncultured bacterium. RNAcentral's name for it is "bacterial SSU rRNA". It matches the Rfam family "Bacterial small subunit ribosomal RNA", at positions 355 to 774 of the family's 1533-position model. The record is from RNAcentral.
UAGGGAAUUUUCGUCAAUGGGGGGAACCCUGAACGAGCAAUGCCGCGUGAGCGAAGAAGGUCUUCGGAUCGUAAAGCUCUGUUGUAAGAGAAAAACGAGCGCCAUAGGGAAUGAUGGACCAGUGAUGGUAUCUUACCAGAAAGCCACGGCUAACUACGUGCCAGCAGCCGCGGUAAUACGUAGGUGGCGAGCGUUAUCCGGAAUCAUUGGGCGUAAAGGGUGCGUAGGUGGCACGAUAAGUCUGUAGUAAAAGGCAGCGGCUCAACCGCUGUUGGCUAUGGAAACUGUCGAGCUGGAGUGCAGAAGAGGGCGAUGGAAUUCCAUGUGUAGCGGUAAAAUGCGUAGAUAUAUGGAGGAACACCAGUGGCGAAGGCGGCCGCCUGGUCUGCAACUGACACUGAAGCACGAAAGCGUGGGGAGCAAAUA